RNAcentral lists this ribosomal RNA (459 nucleotides) under uncultured organism. RNAcentral's name for it is "bacterial SSU rRNA". It matches the Rfam family "Bacterial small subunit ribosomal RNA", at positions 346 to 794 of the family's 1533-position model. The record is from RNAcentral.
GUGCACCAGUCGAGAAUUUUUCUCAAUGGGGCAACCCUGAAGGAGCGACGCCGCGUGGAGGACUGAAGGCUUUCGGGUUGUAAACUCCUGUCAUUUGGGAACAAGUUGCGAGUAUUAACCGUGCUCCGUAUUGAUAGUACCAGAAGAGGAAGGGACGGCUAACUCUGUGCCAGCAGCCGCGGUAAUACAGAGGUCCCAAGCGUUGUUCGGAUUCAUUGGGCGUAAACGGGUGCGUAGGUGGCGCUGUAAGUCGGGUGUGAAAUUUCGGAGCUUAAACUCCGAAACUGACAUUCGAUACUGCGGUGCUUGAGGACUGGAGAGGAGACUGGAAUUCAUGGUGUAGCAGUGAAAUGCGUAGAGAUCAUGAGGAAGACCCAGUGGCGAAGGCGGGUCUCUGGACAGUUCCUGACACUGAGGCACGAAGGCCAGGGAGCAAACGGGAUUAGAUACCCCUGUAGU